Molecule: ribosomal RNA, 465 nt
Filed under: uncultured bacterium
Lineage: Bacteria
Description: partial 16S ribosomal RNA
Rfam family: Bacterial small subunit ribosomal RNA
Source: RNAcentral
GAUGAACGCUGGCGGCGUGCUUAACACAUGCAAGUCGAACGAUGAAGCCCAGCUUGCUGGGUGGAUUAGUGGCGAACGGGUGAGUAACACGUGAGUAACCUGCCCUUAACUCUGGGAUAAGCCUGGGAAACUGGGUCUAAUACCGGAUAGGAGCGCCUACCGCAUGGUGGGUGUUGGAAAGAUUUAUCGGUUUUGGAUGGACUCGCGGCCUAUCAGCUUGUUGGUGAGGUAAUGGCUCACCAAGGCGACGACGGGUAGCCGGCCUGAGAGGGUGACCGGCCACACUGGGACUGAGACACGGCCCAGACUCCUACGGGAGGCAGCAGUGGGGAAUAUUGCACAAUGGGCGAAAGCCUGAUGCAGCGACGCCGCGUGAGGGAUGACGGCCUUCGGGUGGUAAACCUCUUUCAGUAGGGAAGAAGCGAAAGUGACGGUACCUGCAGAAGAAACACCGGCUAACUACGU